GCUAAACGCGAAGAACCUUACCUACUCUUGACAUCCAGAGAACUUUCCAGAGAUGGAUUGGUGCCUUCGGGAACUCUGAGACAGGUGCUGCAUGGCUGUCGUCAGCUCGUGUUGUGAAAUGUUGGGUUAAGUCCCGCAACGAGCGCAACCCUCGCCUUUAGUUGCCAUCAUUAAGUUGGGCACUCUAGAGGGACUGCCGGUGAUAAGCCGGAGGAAGGUGGGGAUGACGUCAAGUCCUCAUGGCCCUUACGGGUAGGGCUACACACGUGCUACAAUGGCGCAUACAAAGAGAAGCGACCUCGCGAGAGCAAGCGGACCUCAUAAAGUGCGUCGUAGUCCGGAUUGGAGUCUGCAACUCGACUCCAUGAAGUCGGAAUCGCUAGUAAUCGUAGAUCAGAAUGCUACGGUGAAUACGUUCCCGGGUCUUGUACACACCG
Molecule: ribosomal RNA, 437 nt
Filed under: uncultured bacterium
Lineage: Bacteria
Description: bacterial SSU rRNA
Rfam family: Bacterial small subunit ribosomal RNA
Source: RNAcentral